Molecule: ribosomal RNA, 228 nt
Filed under: uncultured bacterium
Lineage: Bacteria
Description: partial 16S ribosomal RNA
Rfam family: Bacterial small subunit ribosomal RNA
Source: RNAcentral
UCCGUAGGCGGGCUAAUAAGUCAGGGGUGAAAUCCCACAGCUUAACUGUGGAACUGCCUUUGAUACUGUUAGUCUUGAAUUAUAUGGAAGUAGAUAGAAUGUGUAGUGUAGCGGUGAAAUGCUUAGAGAUUACACAGAAUACCGAUUGCGAAGGCAGUCUACUACGUAUAUAUUGACGCUAAUGGACGAAAGCGUGGGGAGCGAACAGGAUUAGAUACCCUGGUAGUC